RNAcentral lists this long non-coding RNA (1564 nucleotides) under Mus musculus (house mouse). Its description in RNAcentral is "long non-coding RNA chr8:33641781-33643345". The record is from RNAcentral. Lineage: Eukaryota; Metazoa; Chordata; Mammalia; Rodentia; Muridae.
GGAGGUCCGCGCCGCUCAGGUGACAACACUCCAGCUGGGAGCACCGAGAGGAGAAAGGCAACACUUACCGAGACUCGGGAUCCCGCGCCGGAGCUCCAGACACAAGAGAGGGAGAGCAGAGAGCAAGAAAAGGCCCACGACGCCACGAGAAGCCAUGGCGCGGAGGGCUCGCUGGGCGCAGUGCCCGCCCCUUCCGGCCGUGCCUUCCGCGAGCUCGCCCCGGAGGCCUCGGGCUGGGAGGAAUGGAGGGAGGAUGCUGUGCCCUGAGGCUGGGGCGCGGGCCCGGAUGCGAUUGCUCAGACGGCGCGGGUCAUCUCCUUCGGCUGGGACGGUCCCUGUCCUGUGGAUCUGAGGCUGGUCACGAUGACAGUGGCUUAUCAGACUGUGCAGGUCUAAAAGAUGGUGCUCAGAAGACUGAAAUGACUUAAAAGGGGCGGUUGACGCUGCGAGGCCCGGUGGCCUUGUGUCCCUUGGGGGUAACAGGGCGUUUGGUUCUUAGCUAACUAGUUACUAAGCAUCUUCUCUUCCUAACAGGUCCUGCGGGAAGCUUAAAAGUGGGGUCUGCUCCCUAGUGCCUGUUCCUGCCCCACACCCGCGUGGAGAGUUCCCUAGACCUGCCCCCCACUCACUGUUCUCCCUGUCAAUGCCUACACGUGUUACAGUUAUGACUUAACGUUGGCCUCACAGUGACUUCCCUGCCACUCCAUGACUCAGCUCUGGUAACUUAGAGUUCAGGAAUGGAGGGCCUUCCCACUGACAAGAUUCCCAACUUGGCAAGUCCUCAACCAUCAAUACCCCCAGUCGCUCUUCAGUUUAGCUUAAGUUCCAAGUAUGUGUAAGUUACUGAAUUUGUCCUAAACAAACUCAGCCCUGGGAUACAUGUCCUGUACAGAGACUAUCUGAUGUCUGGUGCCAUGAUAGGAAUGUCUGUAUAGAGUGCUACAGAACCACGUUCUGCAGUGUGGAGAAGAAUUUCCUGAGGAGAUAGUGACUAAAGUGUGAAGGUUUGGAGUUUGGACUUCGGACACUUUUAACCACAGCACUAGGGAGGCAGUGGCAGAUGGAUCUCUGAGUUCAAGGCCAGCCUGGUCUACAGAGUGAGUUCCAGGACUGCACAGAGAAACCCUGAUUGAAAAAAACAAAAGAAAAAAAAAGUAUACAGAGGAGCGUCCAAGACCUUGGAACAGUGAGCCCUAAAUGGGUGAAUAUGAAACCCUCCCCUUAGGGAACCCCAAAGGAGCAGAGGCAGAAAGAGUAAGAGCAAAAGGGAUGAAGGGCACGGAGAAAACAAGGCCCUCCAAAGCAAAAAAGAUCGAUAAAUAUGUGAACUCAGUGAACUGAGGCAGCAUGCACAGAGCCUGUGUGGAUCUUCACCGAUAAGCUCCUAGAGCCCAAAGAAGUAGACAGCUAUCCCCAUCCUUAAUCCAGCCACUAUCUCCAACUGAUAACCACUUGAAAAAGUAAAUUCUCUCUCCAGGGAAGGCUCACUUGAAAAACAUUUGCGAUGGUAGACUGAAUGGCCAGCAGUGGAUGGCCAAUACAACCUUAGAGGUUCCUGCUCUUG